Molecule: ribosomal RNA, 366 nt
Filed under: uncultured bacterium
Lineage: Bacteria
Description: bacterial SSU rRNA
Rfam family: Bacterial small subunit ribosomal RNA
Source: RNAcentral
GAUGAACGCUAGCUACAGGCUUAACACAUGCAAGUCGAGGGGAAACGACAUCGAAAGCUUGCUUUUGAUGGGCGUCGACCGGCGCACGGGUGAGUAACGCGUAUCCAACCUGCCCACCACUUGGGGAUAAACCUUGCGAAAGUAAGACUAAUACCCAAUGAUAUCCCACGAAGGCAUCCGAAUGGGAUUAAAGAUUUAUCGGUGAUGGAUGGGGAUGCGUCUGAUUAGCUUGUUGCGGGGUAACGGCCCACCAAGGCAACGAUCAGUAGGGGUUCUGAGAGGAAGGUCCCCCACAUUGGAACUGAGACACGGUCCCAAAACUCCUACGGGAGGCAGCAGUGAGGAAUAUUGGUCAAUGGGCGAGAG